Amphiprion ocellaris (clown anemonefish) is the source of this 524-nucleotide long non-coding RNA. RefSeq lists it as uncharacterized. The transcript is spliced from 2 exons. The record is from RefSeq and is a predicted model, not a curated record. NCBI's taxonomy places the organism in Eukaryota, Metazoa, Chordata, Actinopteri, Pomacentridae.
GGCUCGUCUCGGUUUAGUUGUUUUUCCAUAUAGCCUCAUCGUGGGUGGAGUCGUCAUAGCGCAGCGAGCCGAAAGUCCCUUAACGUCAUUUGUGUGCGACACAAACGCAACAUAACGGAGACGAUGGUUCACCUGCUGCUCGGUCUGUGGCUUUCUGUCAGAUUCAAAGUAAUAGAAGAGUCAGAGAAAGCUGAAAGCGGCGAGUCGGAACACUCAGGAGACACACAGGAGAGUUUGGGAGGCGAUGCAGCAGUAUCAAGCUGAAGACAAGAGGAUAUGAACGAGACGACAUAUGAGGAUGCUCUCUGAUGAGACUUCAUGGGAUUUACCUGAAGCAGCAGCACAUGAGCCUGCAGUGGUACAAGGUGUAGAGGAGGAGGACAGAGAUGUACAGGAUGCACUGAUGCACUACGUGUCAUGCAAAAGUUAAGUUAUUCUUCUCGCUAUACUUCUGUUUUUCUGUCCCCGGACCGCUAUUGUUUUCUUUAAUGCAAUUCUGACAAUAAACUUUUGUACCUUUUGCA